GAUGAACGCUGGCGGCGUGCUUAACACAUGCAAGUCGAACGAUGAAGCCCAGCUUGCUGGGUGGAUUAGUGGCGAACGGGUGAGUAACACGUGAGUAACCUGCCCUUAACUCUGGGAUAAGCCUGGGAAACUGGGUCUAAUACCGGAUAGGAGCGUCCACCGCAUGGUGGGUGUUGGAAAGAUUUAUCGGUUUUGGAUGGACUCGCGGCCUAUCAGCUUGUUGGUGAGGUAAUGGCUCACCAAGGCGACGACGGGUAGCCGGCCUGAGAGGGUGACCGGCCACACUGGGACUGAGACACGGCCCAGACUCCUACGGGAGGCAGCAGUGGGGAAUAUUGCACAGUGGGCGCAAGCCUGAUGCAGCGACGCCGCGUGAGGGAUGACGGCCUUCGGGUUGUAAACCUCUUUCAGUAGGGAAGAAGCGAAAGUGACGGUACCUGCAGAAGAAGCACCGGCUAACUACGUG
RNAcentral lists this ribosomal RNA (466 nucleotides) under uncultured bacterium. Its description in RNAcentral is "partial 16S ribosomal RNA". It matches the Rfam family "Bacterial small subunit ribosomal RNA", at positions 28 to 507 of the family's 1533-position model. The record is from RNAcentral.